AGCCGCCGCUGCACGGGCUCGUAUCGCCAAAGCAGUGGUGUCUCCCUUAGGCUGAAGGCCCAGGAUGGGGUGGCUGAAGAAUGAAAACAAAUGAAAAAUAACGCUGAAAUCCUCAUCCUACCUUGAAACGGACUGGGAAGGGAUGAAGAAUCCUUGUCCAUUUGCCUCUCCCAAAUGCAGCAUCGUGGGCUCUGUCUCCCAAACAGCUUUUUGGAAAUCGUCUCUCCAGGCGUAUGGAAUCAAUGGAAGGAGGGAGUCCCAGCCCCAAGAGGCCCUGACCGAGCACCGGGCUGCCCUGUGGACGUGACGCUUCUGCCAAUCCCAGGGUCAGCUUUCAGCCACCACCUGCUGGGCUGUUCACAAAGCACCUCUCCUCCGCAGAUAUGGGUCGCCUGCUGUGACUCUCACCCCUCUGCACACUCAGGAACACUAACGUGUCACCACGAGAAAGCUGAAGGCGCAGCGGCAGUCCUUUGAAUCAUCAUAAAAGUACAGUUUUAAAGUUUUUUUUUUUAAUAGAAAAGUAUUUAAAAGCUAAGAAAAUAAACCAAGUGAAGACAUAAUUGGUCA
Molecule: long non-coding RNA, 570 nt
Organism: Bos indicus x Bos taurus (hybrid cattle)
Lineage: Eukaryota; Metazoa; Chordata; Mammalia; Artiodactyla; Bovidae
Source: Ensembl